This is a long non-coding RNA of Leptidea sinapis, 3022 nucleotides long. RefSeq lists it as uncharacterized. Lineage: Eukaryota; Metazoa; Arthropoda; Insecta; Lepidoptera; Pieridae. The record is from RefSeq and is a predicted model, not a curated record. The transcript has 6 exons.
CCUUAUAUCUGGGGGUGAGGUCCUGGUGAUCUGUAAUAAAGGGUCCACCUACUUCAGGCACCAGCUCCUCACAAAAUACUAUCUGUUAAAAAAAUGUAACACAACUGUACUGUUUUAACUUUAAGAUCUUUGUGAGGAGAAAAUAAAUAGAUAUUAUUUAUUUUUCGUUCGUGUCGUGCCUUGGUGCAUCGUGUUUUCAUAGUGUUCUUUGCUCUGACUAAUUUUAACCGAUUGUGCUUGUUUUAUGGACUUGAUUAAAGCUUGAUUAUCUGCUGACUGCUAUAAACGAUUGACCAACGCUGUGUAUACUGGACCCUGGAACUUUUGCUGUCUGGAUUUUAUUUUACAUAGAUAUUUAGAAGUUCUCAAGUAAACUUUCAAAAUGCCGAGGAAGUCUGCCUUUAAGUGCUAUUUUGGAUGUACUCCGUAUAAAGGAAGACUCCAUCACUUUCCACCACUGGAAUACCCAAAUUCGGAAAAAUUUAAUCAGUAGAAAAUGGUUUUGAGUGAAGUAGACAAGGAAAAGGGUGAUAAUUUCAUAUAUUUGUUUGUGUGAUCAUCAUUUUAAAGAAUGCUGUUCCAACAUUGAAUAUUGCAACAACAUUAACAACUUUGCAAUCCUCUGAAAUGGAUUUAACUUCAUGCUCUGCUGAGCAAACUGAAACAUCUGAUAAUGCAAAAAGCUUUUCUGGAGAAGGCUCAACAUCAAAAGAAUUUGUACCAUCAUGUGAGGUUCCACCGGUAGCAAUUAUGCCAAGACGUGCUUCUGUCAAGAAAGGUACUAAAUCUAUAACGAUCAGAAAUAAAUAUGCAAAAGAAAAUAUCGGUUUGAAAGUCAAACUGUUAAAAUUGAGGGAAAAAUACAAAACUAUAAACCAAAAAGUGCAACAAGCUGCAAAGCUGUCACAAAAUAAAGCUUUUUUGGAAGCUGUCGAAAAACUGCCUGAAGCCGCUGCCAUUUUCACUAAAAUGCAAUUAGAAAAGGCUUCAAUAAGACCUAAAGGAAGAAGAUAUUCCACUGAAGAAAAAGUUUUGUGCCUUACAAUUUAUAAACAAAGUCAAAAAGCAUAUAAAUUGUUGCAAAGACUCAUGGCAUUGCUAUCGAAACGGACCAUAAAGAAAAUAUUAAGAACGAUCGUUAUCCAGCCUGGAAUCAAUGAUUCUAUUAUUGAAAAUCUUAAGGGAGACAGUUAAAAAAUUACCUCAAGAAAAAAAAAUAUGCACACUGAUCUUUGAUGAAGUGGCAUUAACUCCGGGCCUAUAUUAUAAUAAAACCUCAGACGAAAUAAUUGGUUUUGAAGAUUUUGGUCCAAACAAAUCUAAACUAAUUGCUGACCAUGCAUUAGUUUUUAUGGUCAAGGGUUUGAAAUGCAAAUACAAACAGCCCAUAUCUUUCACAUUUUGCCAGAGUACAACAAAGAGUGCAGAAUUAAAAAAGCUGGUUCAAGACGCAAUAAAUGCUGUACAAAGCACUGGUUUGAAGAUUAUUGCCACUGUUUGUGACCAAUCGUCCACCAAUAUGUAUGUAAUAAAUAGUCUCGUAAAUGACACAAAAAGAAAAUAUUUAGCUGAAGGGAAAUAAUACAAAAGUUUAAGUUUUGAAUAUAAUGAAACAAAAAUAUUUCCUAUAUUUGACCCCCCUCACCUCCGUAAAGGUUUAAGAAAUAAUCUCCUUUCAAAGGAUUUGUUCAAAAUGGGGAAGUCAAAAUUGCCAAAUGGGAGCAUUAACAAAUGCUACUAAAUGCUGAUCCAGGUGAAGAUGAUAUAAGAUUAUUAAAUAAACUGUCUGAAAGUCAUGUUAUUAAAGACAAAAUACCUAAAAUGAAGGUAAAGAAUGCAGCCCAAAUAUUCAGCCAAAGGGUGUCUGCAACAAUGAGAUAUUUAGCCAAUCAUGAUAUUCUUCCUAAGGAGUGUCUGGGUACAGCAGACAUUUUUCUGCUAAUGGAUAAACUUUUUGAUUCGUUCAACAGUCACAGCUACCAGAAAUCAGAUAAACUUUACAAGAGUGCACUAAAAAUUAACUCGCCACAUUUUUAACUGUGGAACGACUCACUGCCUGUAUUGAGGUCGAUGCAGUUUAAAGUGGAAAAAACGUUAAGAGAUGGGACAACUUCAACAAAAUUUGAAGAAGUCCCAUCUCUUAAAAAUUGGAUUUCCAACAUUAAUAUUUAUAAAGAAAUAUUCAAUUAUUUGAAUGAGUUGGAAUGGAAUUAGUAGUCUGUUGACAAGAAAUAUAAACCAGGAUCCAUUAGAUUUUUUUUCCGCGAUAUAAGGAGUAAUGGUGUACGAAACACAUUUCCAACAUCCUCGCAGUUUAUAUGUGCGUUUAAAACAUUACUUGUUAACAAUUUAAUUUCACCACACUCACUUGGAGCAAGCUGUGAACAAGAUAACAAUAAGGCAUUGCUUAAACCAUUAAAAACAUUGCUAAAUUAUAGACAAAAAGAAGCAAGCACAGAACCCACUUAUAUUGUUAAUGUGGAUUCUGUUAUAGAUUGUUUCAUGCAAACAUCGGAAUUAAUUAAUAAUAACACAAACAGUAAAGAGGCAAAAAAAUAUGUUACCUACUGGUUACAUCAUAAAAAAAAGUAUGUAAAAAAUGCCAUACUUGCCGACUGAGUUUAGUAAGCACAGUGCCUCCGAGUAAUAAAGAUUACACAUUAGAAAGAUACAUCAUGAAAAGGUCUCUAAAUUAUCCAUCGGAGUUUUUAGACGAUGUUUGCAUCAUAAUCCAAGCACAGUUAAAUGGUGAACCACAACAAAAAUAUUUAAACAAUUCAAUACAGCAAAUUGCAAAUGUAUUUUAUGAUUUGUCACCAUUCUCUUGCAUGACUCAUAAAAGAGAUGUACAAAAUUUUGUAAUGGAUACAGUAAUUAAUAUUAUUAUAGUUAGCUGGUGCACUAACGUCAACAGAUUGCUAAAGGGCAAAAUAAAGAUCUGCCAUAAUAAUGCAACUAAAAUACAGGCAUUAAAUUAUUAUAAUAAACACAAUAGAAAGAAAUAAACUUUUCAAAUAAUAAA